Molecule: long non-coding RNA, 748 nt
Filed under: Vulpes vulpes (red fox)
Lineage: Eukaryota; Metazoa; Chordata; Mammalia; Carnivora; Canidae
Description: lncRNA (ENSVVUG00000010818.1)
Source: RNAcentral
AGAGAGGAGAGCUAUAUAGAUGGGGCACCGGUGGACUGCAGUGGCCAAACUGGGAAGAAUCUGGGUGUUGGGGGAGUCAGUACCUCGACCUCACCCUUUUCUCUCCUCUGAUCACCUACAGGCCUCUCCUUUGAAAGGGCUACAUCUAACUGGGAGCUGGAAGACAAAGUCAUGUAACUCAUGUGGGGCAGCAUUCCCAAGGGCCUGUGUAGCAGCCAGAAAGGUAGAGAGGGGAUCUGGAGAUGCAACAGAAGAGUCCAAAUACAUCUGCCAUAGCAUGAUUUUACUGCAAGUAUUUCUUUUUGUUGAUACUACACUAAAUAUCAUUCAUAGUCUUCAAAGCGGUUUCAUGCUCUUUGAUCUCCGGGGGGUCUACUCAAUCCUGAACCCGUGUAUCUCACCUAGAAGGACUCCAGGGCAGGACCCAAUCAGUGAAGAGCAAGUAUCUGUUUUUCCUUACAAAGGGUGACACCAAUUCAGUAUGUCCCUAUCCCUCAAGAGAAUAUUGUCUUUGGAAGUGUAUCAUUGCAGGGAGUCCUACUGCCAAUUGAUCACCAGUUUAAAAACACAUUAUAUAUAAUUGCAAUGUUUGUUGUUAAUUUAAAAAAAAAUAACAUGAUGAUAAUAGCUGGAUAUAGUCAAGUUCAAAUAGUUUAAACUAUGCUCCUAAACUUCAAAUUGACUUGAAUUAAAUGAUGCUUUUAGAGUUUGAAAUGGCAAGUACAAAUGUGAUAUAUUUGAGUGAAUU